This 1303-nucleotide ribosomal RNA is filed under the name Trigonopterus sp. 2 AH-2016. Its description in RNAcentral is "16S ribosomal RNA". The stretch from base 609 to 1303 matches the Rfam family "Archaeal large subunit ribosomal RNA", at positions 1423 to 2820 of the family's 2987-position model. The record is from RNAcentral. Lineage: Eukaryota; Metazoa; Arthropoda; Insecta; Coleoptera; Curculionidae.
AGUUAUAAAAUUAUUUAAUUUGUUAGAAGGAUAAAUAAUUGUAAAAGGAAUAAUUUUUUUUUAUUAGUUUGUACGAAUAAAUUGUGUGGUUAGUUUAUGAUAGGGAAUUAGUAUUGUGAAAGAAUUUUUUAAAUUGUGUAAAAGAAGAUUUAAAUUGUCGUACCUUGUGUAUCAGGGUUUAUUAAUUAAAAUUUAAAAUUUUAAUUUUCUCGAAUCUAAAAGAGCUGUGGUUAUAUUGGAUUUUAUUGUAGAAAAAAUAUUGAUAAUAUAGUUGCUGAAGUGAAAUUCUAUUCGAUUUUAGGUAUAUCUAGUUUUUUAAGAAAAAAAUUUAAUUUUGGUCUUAUUUUACUUUAAUUUUAUUUAUUUAAUUUUAUGGUAGUGAGAUUCUAUAUCUGAGGGGAUGAGCUUUUGGAUAAAAUUAUAUAACAGAUUGUUUAGAUUUAUAGUUAAUCAGUAGGAUUGAAAGUUUCUAUCUUGUAGUGUGUUAUUACUAGUGGUGUAGAAUUAGGAUUUAUAUGUAUGUUGUUUAUGUAGUUAUUAAAAUAUGAGUUUUAUUUAAAUUUAUUCAGUAAAAAUGAUAGAAUUAGUAUAAUUUAGGGUUAAAAUUAUGAGGAAAGAGAGGUUUUUUAAAGGAACUCGGCAAAUAUAUUUUUCACCUGUUUAAUAAAAACAUGGCUUGUUGAUUAUGAUUUCAGGUCUGACCUGCCCACUGAGGAGAUUAAAUGGCCGCGGUAUAUUGACCGUGCAAAGGUAGCAUAAUCACUAGUUUUUUAAUUGAAAGCUUGUAUGAAAGGUUUGAUGAAAAAAUAGCUGUCUCUGGAAAAAUUUUUUAAAAUUUUAUUUCUAAGUGAAAAAGCUUAGAUUUUUAUAGAAGACGAGAAGACCCUAUAGAGUUUUAUAUGUAAAUUUAAAGUUCAAAUUUUAGGUUAGUUUUAUUUUGAACUUUUUUUACUUAUUUUGUUGGGGUGAUGGGAAAAUUAAUUUAACUUUUCUAUAUUUUUAUAUUAAUUUGUAAGUUUAUGAUCCUAAAGUUUAGAUUAAAAGAAUAAAUUACCUUAGGGAUAACAGCGUAAUUUUUCUUAGAGUUCGUAUCAAAAGAAUAGAUUGCGACCUCGAUGUUGGAUUAAAAUUAAUUACUGGUGCAGUAGCUGGUAAAUUGGGUCUGUUCGACCUUUAAAAUUUUACAUGAUCUGAGUUUAAACCGGUGUGAGCCAGGUUGGUUUCUAUCUCUAUAAAAGAGGGGGUGUUUUAGUACGAAAGGACCAGACAUUCAGUUUAAAACUAGGGUUUUGAGUUAUAUUAA